CAAAACCAACUUGAACAACAUAGUAAGAACCCAUCUCUACAAAAAAUUAAAAAAUUAAAAAUUUAGCCUAGGCACAGUGGCGUGUGUCUGUAGUCCUAGCUACUUGGGAGGCUGAGGCAGGAGGAUCGCUUGAGCCCAGGAGUUCCAGGCUGCAGUGAGCUCAGUGGGUUUGCUCUUGACUGUGCCAUUGGUAUUUAUUUGCCAGUGAGUGUGUGGGGAGGAGGUGCCUCUUUGGAGGUGUGGAGAUGGAUCUUGGCCAGGUGGACUGGGAUGUCUACAUGCAGGACGGAGCAGCCCCUGGACGUGUGCAACAGACCAGGCUUGGGAAGAGUAAAGCUGGACCUGAGACCUACUAGCUCCACGUCUUCAUGUCUGACAUGGAAUUCCAAGGAGCCUGUGAAUUUUAAUCUGAAUAUGGGCUUCCAGGUCAUUAUGAAGGAACAUUAUGGCCGGGGAAUGGCUGGUUACGAGUCUUUUGUUUGAAAGGUUUAAUCUUUGCUUGUAGAUCUAGCCACUUACCACGAGGUGGCAAUAGCAACCUGCACAACGAAUGCCAAGCUCCAAGCAAGGUGUGGAUUCUCCACUGAUUUCCUGGGCCGAAGAAUUUUCCUAUGUUUUAGAAAUAUUGUGAUGAAGUUUCAUUUUUAUGUGAUGAAAAUGUUUUAAAAUUGAUUGUCGUGAUGGUUGCACAACUCUGUGAACGGACUAGGAGCCAUUGGAUUGUACACUUUAAAUAGGUGAAUUGUAUAAUAUGUAAAUUAUAUCUCAAUAAAGCUGUUAUAUAUAUAUGUAUAUAUAAAUAUAUAUACAUCUGUGUGUGUGUGUGUAUAUAGUUAUCUCACCCAAGAUCCUGCCUCCAGAAAGACCCACAUUAAAUAGAUCCUGAUGGAUCUCCCUGGUUCAAAAAUAAAUGGUAUUUUGUUUAUUUCUAAAAGUGAAUAGUAUUGUAAAUGGUAGACCUAUGGAUAUUUCUCUUUUUAUAUAUUUCUUUAUUUAAAAAUAGAAAUGCCCAUGAAUGUUACUUUCUUUUAAAGUUGGAGAGGAAUCCUUUAUCCUACUCUGUGGUCAGUGUUAUCUGAGGAUCUUUGCUAUCAAAGAAGCUGAAAUGGAGCCAAAUUGUGAAAAGAAGAUUAGUGACAGGACUAACAAUUGCAAAGAAAGAUCACAUAAAUAGUCAAACAGGAAAAGCCAAAUCACUGCCUUGGGCCUUGAAAGAGAUUAGUUGGGUUUUUGUCUACAAGAAAAGAUAAAUAUUGUUGGAAUUAAAUCUCUCUCUCCUCACUGCCCCCAACCCACCCCCACUGCACCGCACUUGGCCACGUGUGACUCCUGAGGAAUACCUGCAAUUGUAAGACCAGGAGUAUAUCAGGUUCAUGCAAAUAGACAGUCCACUGGAACAUGUCCUAGUUAGGCAAUCACUGAAAUUAUAUUGCAACUCUGGAGGGGAAAUGUUGAUGGG
RNAcentral lists this long non-coding RNA (1459 nucleotides) under Homo sapiens (human). RNAcentral's name for it is "non-protein coding lnc-IDO2-1:2". The record is from RNAcentral. Lineage: Eukaryota; Metazoa; Chordata; Mammalia; Primates; Hominidae.